CUUAGUUGAGUUGAGUUGAGUUAAUCACUUUACACCAUACCAAGUGUGAUAGUAAGGGUAGUCACCCAACAAGAAAAUGUCUGUGUGUCUGAGUGGAAUUGCUUUGAUGAAAUUUAUUUGGUGUGACAUUAACUUGUAAACGAUGAGGAAGAUUCCUCUAAGUCCACUGUCCAACCACACCUAUGUUUUAGUAGUCUUAAUUCAGAAUCUAUAAACAUUUCUGCAUUCUAGCUGUUUCCUUGAAGAUAUCUGCUGAAAGUAUGUCUACCUCUGUGUGAAGCUAAUUUCACCGUUUGCUUCAAUUUCUCAAAUGUUGAAUGCAUUUUACUUCACUGAUUGUCUAUCAAAUAGUGUUGUUUAGGAAGGCAAUCAAUUCAUUGUUUAUAUGUUCAUAAAGGGACAGUUGAUUUAUGUACAUAUGUGUGUACAAAAGGAUAAAAUUUUAAAUUUUCUCUUCCCAAAAACCUUUCUUCCCUCAAGGUGACUACUUUUUGUGGGAGAGAUUUACAGUAGCUGUCUAGAGUGUGGCAUGCUUAGCUCUUGAUACCAGUUACUGGCAAUAGAGCUUAUAUUUAAUAAUAAGAGAACCAUUAAAGGGAAGCCAUUAGAAAUAACAUAUUCAAUAAUAAUUGAUAUGCUCAAAUUAGAAUAGCAUAUAUGUUGCUACAAUCUUGUUUCUUGUAGUUGUGAUGAUGUCUUUAUACCACUUACUGGUAGAAGGAAUAGAGAGGGCAAUGUUAUUUGAAUAUCCAAGGGAUGGGUGAAAUGAAAUGCUGGUUUUGAACAGCAACUUUUGAGGUUACACUGUGUUUCUCAAUAUUUUCUGGUGUCAGACAUGAGCAAGAAUAAGAGAACCAAAAAUGUUGUCAGUGGGAGAUGUUAUAUGGGAACUGACAUAUAGAUUGUGUAGUUCUUUUCACCAAUGCUGAAGCUAAAUGAAGUAAAAUCUGCCUAGAUUUCUUGAAAGUGAUGAGUGAUUCCUGACAAAAUUGAUUUGCCAUUAAGCAAACUAAUGUUUAUUCUUGGUGAAUGUUUGUUGUCUUCUUGAUGC
This 1051-nucleotide unclassified non-coding RNA is filed under the name Hevea brasiliensis (rubber tree). The record is from RNAcentral. Lineage: Eukaryota; Viridiplantae; Streptophyta; Magnoliopsida; Malpighiales; Euphorbiaceae.